Non-coding RNA from Clostridium magnum DSM 2767, 77 nucleotides. The record is from Rfam. Lineage: Bacteria; Bacillati; Bacillota; Clostridia; Eubacteriales; Clostridiaceae.
UUGAGCCGUAUGUGGUGAAAGUCACAAGUACGGUUCUUAGGCGGGAAAGAGGGAGUAAUCCCUCCUACCUAGCCGAC